AAAUUAGAUGGCCUUUCUACAAAUCUAAAAUGAUGAGAUGAUACCACAUUGGGCGGGGAUUCAUAAAAUAUAAACAAUGAUAAUCAUUAUACUCUGAUCGAUAAUAUAUUCAUAGUCGAGAAAAAUUGCGCAAGGCAUUGAAUAAUCUGUUCCUUUGUAUUAAAGCGAGAUGGACAAUGUAUCCACAAAGUCACGGCUUCUGAAACUCCAAUACUUUAAAAUAAUUGGCGCGGACACACUACUCAUAAGGACUUUGCGUAAAAAAAAGGAUGAAGGAUUACACGUACCUUGACACGGGCCUUGAAACUCAUUGAAAUUUUAACUGGUACCAAACCACUAGCUAAAUGCUAGCAUUUAUUAAACCUAACUACUCUGAUUCUAAUACCGCUCAAACAACGCAGUUACAAUCAAAAGCGAUAGAACAGCAAAUAAUUGAGUACACAUGUCCAAAGCAGUCGGGUCUAUAUAACUGACAGAGACUCAACUUUUGUUCACCUCAACAAUAGUAACAAUUAUACAUUUUUAUGAUUGACAUUUUGACUUAUUUAUAGAAAAAUUAGCGUAAUAAGAUAUUUACGAAAAAUUUAAAAUACUUUUCAGGAAUAAGAAAAAAAUCUCCUAAAUAAUUUUUAUUUCUGUAUUAUAGAGCGACAGUUGAAUUCGAUUCCAGUUCCGUGCACUGAACAAUGAAACACAAAUUUUUAUUUAAAUGCUUCACGAACAAUGUUCAUAGGGGUAUAGAGAAUGGCUGGAAGAAAACAUUUUUUAAGCAAAAAAUAAUUUCGCAAUAGGAAAAAUAACAUUUUAACAUAAAAUUAUCAAACAUAUUUAAAUUGUUGAAACUCAAAAGAAAUCUAGUAACUAAUUGAAUAUUCACAUUUUAUGCAAUAAUUAAGAGAUUAUUAUCAAAACGAAAAGGCGAAAUUCAAUAGAAUAACAAUGCUCAUUCUCUAAGGAUGGAAUAACAAAUAAAUAAUAAAUUGUUAAUGUUCUAAAAUUUACAGUAGUUUAAAUAAAUGAACUUACAAGAAUUAUUAUUUCAUGUUUUGAGUAUUGGCAGAAAUUAGAGUAAUAAAUCAAAGGCUUUCUAUAUAUACUAGAGAUAAGUAUGUUUGUAAUUCAGCCAGUAAAGUGCUUCUAAUGAGUGCAUUCUUGUCACAGUAUCCAUCGUGCAACUUUUGUUCUUGUAAUGAGAUGCACCUUUUUUAUACGCACAUAUGAUUAUAUACGCAUAUGGGUGUUAAGCUGUUAAAACUCCAUUUAGGCAGAAUGAAAUGCUGAACUUCCAAAUCCCCACAGUUUACUUGGUUGAAGCGAAAUGUUAGUACGGAUUCUCCAACGACGACGCCUUUUAUAGCUGUCUGCGUUCCCAUUUGAAUACUUGAGUUCGUUUUGCGAUGUUUUUAAAUUACCAAAUUGAAUACGUUCAUUACAAAUACAGAAAUAAAUAAAGAACUGACAAAUAAAUAAAUAAAAUCUAACAGUGUAGAAAAUAUCACAUAGUAAGGAGUCUACAUAGUAGGCACCAAAUAUCACUUGUUUGCUUUGUACUAUAAAUUUUGUAGAGUCGUUGGCAGUACCAACAUGGAAUAUGAAUUUUACAUGUAAAAAUAAUUAUUUUGAGUAAUAACAAUUGUAAUGAUUAUUUAUAAAUUAGUUAUGGUGGUAGCUAUAAUUCAGUUUUUUUUUUUUUAUCAGCUAUAGCAAACAUAAUUUAUUUUAUUCUUUGAUAUAAGUUUAUAUUUAAUUCUAUAGAGUACAUUAAUGUUAUAUAUUUGUUAGUAGUAACUGCAAUAGUUUUCGAAUAAUUUUGCAUUUGCUUAAAUUUUUAUAUUUUUAGUAAUUUAAUAUACAAGUAUCUUUUAAAAUAAGAGCGGAUAUUUGAUUUUUUUUGUUUUGGGAUAAACUCAUCAAAUAACAAUGAAAUAUCGUAUAUAUUUUUAUGCAUAUAGUUUGAGUUUUAAACAUACCAUACAUAGCACGUGCCUUUAACAUGUAUAUAUGUAUGUUUUAUUUUCUUUUUGCCUUAAUUAAACCAACUGAAAUAAAUAUUGUGUCUGCGCACAUUUAAGCAACUGUUAACAGUUAGUUAUAUUUUUAUAAUGUGUUUUCGCAAUUAUAACUACGUAAUGUGUGCUUCCUAAUUCUUUCUUGCUUUUGAUUUUAAGUGUUUUUUUUAUAAGCUUCAUACUUGUUUUAUUUAUUUUUUUUGUUUUGUUAGCGACUUGUUUGCGCAGCAAUUGCACAACAAAGUGCAAUAUAAAAUGCCGUAACAAAGUGUUGGCCGAGUUUUAAUUUAUUAUAUGUUUU
This is a long non-coding RNA of Bactrocera oleae (olive fruit fly), 2310 nucleotides long. RefSeq lists it as uncharacterized. The record is from RefSeq and is a predicted model, not a curated record. NCBI's taxonomy places the organism in Eukaryota, Metazoa, Arthropoda, Insecta, Diptera, Tephritidae.